Molecule: small nucleolar RNA, 135 nt
Filed under: Castor canadensis (American beaver)
Lineage: Eukaryota; Metazoa; Chordata; Mammalia; Rodentia; Castoridae
Description: Small nucleolar RNA SNORA68 (ENSCCNG00000024239.1)
Rfam family: Small nucleolar RNA SNORA68
About the family: U68 is a member of the H/ACA class of small nucleolar RNAs (snoRNAs) which act as guides in the the modification of uridines to pseudouridines.
Source: RNAcentral
AAUGAACCACAAAAUUUCCAGCUUUCUUGUAGCAGCAAUUUAAACAAUUAAACAGGUGCAAACAGCAAGAGGGUCUUGUCCCUUUUGGGGAGCUGUCACUUCUGCCUCUAAAGUGAAUUUGGAAGUUCUCUACCU